CCUACGGGAGGCAGCAGUGGGGAAUAUUGCGCAAUGGGCGAAAGCCUGACGCAGCGACGCCGCGUGAGGGAUGAAGGUCUUCGGAUCGUAAACCUCUGUCAGCAGGGAAGAACGGUCACUGUGCUAAUCAGCAGUGAAUUGACGGUACCUGCAAAGGAAGCACCGGCUAACUCCGUGCCAGCAGCCGCGGGAAUACGGAGGGUGGGAGCGUUAAUCGGAAUUACUGGGCGUAAAGCGCUCGUAGGCGGUAUGUCAAGUCAAGGGGGAAAUCCCCGCGCUCAACGUGGGAACUGCCUUUGAAACUGGCAAACUGGAGUGUGUGAGAGGUUAGUGGAAUUCCAGGUGUAGGAGUGAAAUCCGUAGAUAUCUGGAGGAACAUCAGUGGCGAAGGCGACUAUCUGGCACAUAACUGACGCUGAGGAGCGAAAGCGUGGGUAGCAAACAGGAUUAGAUACCCCAGUAGUC
Molecule: ribosomal RNA, 465 nt
Filed under: uncultured bacterium
Lineage: Bacteria
Description: partial 16S ribosomal RNA
Rfam family: Bacterial small subunit ribosomal RNA
Source: RNAcentral